AAGUCGUAACAAGGUUUCCGUAGGUGAACCUGCGGAAGGAUCAUUAACACUUUGAAUCCCUGAAUUUCUUUCCAACUCUUUCGUUGGAGGAAAUUCUUAACCCCACACUUUGCGAACGAUGAUUUAUAUUAUCCGCAAGGAUAGUAUUUAUCCCCUUUUUCUCCUUUUUAUUUUUUUAUUUUUACCCCAAUUUACAUCAAUUCGACUGAUAUAAACUUUUUUUUUUCUUCCAUUUUCAAUGGAGAAAAGAAAAACAAAAAAAACAAUGGUUAAAACAACUCUUAGCAACGGAUAUCUUGGCUCUC
Molecule: unclassified non-coding RNA, 305 nt
Filed under: fungal sp.
Lineage: Eukaryota; Fungi
Description: partial internal transcribed spacer region
Rfam family: Eukaryotic small subunit ribosomal RNA (bases 1-46)
Source: RNAcentral